UUGGUAUCAGAGCCAUAGGUUUCAUUGAAUUAGGUUUCUGUAGAGAUACCUAGGCUCUAACCUCACUUUCCUCUGGGGACUUAGAUUAAUAAGACGUUGAAUACACACAGAAUGCCUAGUACUCGAAUAUGGGUUCCAACCGUUGCCGAAAACAAUGAGUUAACAAUUUUGAUUUCAAACAUACGCAAAUGUUGUGUUGAUACACGGUUCACGAAACAGAUUCAUACCUUAAGCAAAACUUUGAGAGUUUGGGAUAACAUGCAUUUUGGACCUUUGUAAAGCUUAGGUCGAAACUCAUUAAAGGUCCUCACUUAGAAACCGUGACUAACAACUCGGGCAAACGCCAUUAUAUUAUGUCGUCUAUGCUAUCUUACUUACCCGAGCAGGUAACCUACGCAGAACGAAACGCUAGUGCACAGGUAUACAUGAAACUUAAACUAUACUUCAGCGGACGUCGAAGUACGUCACACACGACUUUCGAGGCAAGGCCUUGGGGAAAACACAAAUCGGCACGGCAACAACGAUGCUAAUCCCGUCAGCGAGAGAACAACAACCGAAAUGCAGUACUUUGCCACAUGAUCUUGCAAAUGACACGAGUGAAGCUGAGGUACGUUAAAACAAGAUUUCACAACAAUCGAUACUUAGUCUGAAGAGACUCACACUUGUUGGCACUGCAAAAGAAGUCACAUGUCUCCGCAUCCCCCCUACUUCAUUAAUGGCGAUUACGCUAUGUUCGACAUUCCAUGGUAAUGUCAUCUAACAACCGAUCAUCACAUGAACUUCCAGGUAAAGUCCUUAAAUUUCUUUUGUUGAAAUUUCGACUUUUCGCAUAUAGUGAGUAGGUUUUCAUACCCCUACUCCUCCUAAUAGUCAUUGCAUCACGAGGACUUUAUUUCGAAAUAGCGAACACUCGAUUGCUUCAUUUCUUGACAAAUUCACAUGUUACGCAUGUUUUGUUUGUUACGCAUGCCGUUAGAUUGAUUUGUGACCGUGUUAUUGCAAAACGUUGACUCCUUGAUAUCGGGUCAACGAACUCGUUGAAACUCCUUUCCUUUCAAGCUACAUGCAUGGUUUUUCGUUGUGGCCAUGUCGAAACUUACUUGUUGACACAUGAAUUCAUUGUUGGAUUAUGUUUCAUCCAAGUUUAAUUGAUUGAACUUGCUCGUAAUAUAUAUUCGAUUCAAGAGUCCAUAUGAUGGGUAGAGGCCAUCAUAUUCGAAAUAAUCCCAACAAGCACUUCAUUUGCUUUGAACCAUAACAUGCUUGUUUGGUCUUCGACUUCAUUAAAUCGUUUCUUUGAUCACGAUCACCUUGUGGUGGCGUCUUUCACAAGUUUGAAGCUUGCGCUAAUCUUGUUGCUCACAUCAUGUACGGAUUUAGUUAUUUAUUUGUUUAUUGAUAUUAAAUCCGCUUUGUUGGUUUAUCAUAUUAAAGCAAUCUUAACACAAUCGUGUGUUAAGAUAAUGGUACACAAAUUUAUGUCAUAUUUCAGUGUACCUCUUAACGAUUCUUUGAGCAUCGAUCGAACAUUUUGUGAUAUUUAUUGCUCUUUUAUUUUCGAUCGAAAAACAUUAUUUAUUUGUUUCAAUAUCAAUUGAAAAUCCUAUGAGUUUUUUUUUUCUUCUUCGUUGAACCUUGCAUCUGAUUUCAAGACACGGUGAUACUUGUUCGGUCACCACUAUAAUUGAAUUAUUUCGAUCACUACGACACCUUGUGGUGUCGGUAUAAACUUGUAGCUUGGGCUAAUCAUAAUCGAGCGUUUCAUGCAAAUCACGGUGAUACUUGUUUGAUCACCGUUAUUAAUGAAUUGUUUCAUUCAUUACGACACCUUGUGGUGUCGGUAUAAACUUGUAGCUUGUGCUAAUCACGAUCAGUCGUUCAUGCGAAACUAUAUAUGCUUUUCGUUUGAUUCAUCAUUUAAAUGGUCUUAAUGCAACUAUGAAUUAAGACGAUGAUACACCAGGUUCGGUUGUAUUUCGUUUCGGUGUAUCCUUGCGACUCAAUAAUGUCAACACGUUGAUUUAUUUUCAUUUAAUGGUUCGAUAGUUGACAAAUCGUUUUCAUGAUUCUAUUUAUUUGAGCUUGUUGAAUUCGAGUGUCAAUCAUACGACGAUCGACACAAGGUUUCCGUUGGCAGUAAAUUCUAUUGUUUCAAAAUUGAUUGCAUAUUAUGAACGUUCAUUUGGAAUUCUAUUCGUUGAAUUUCCUAUUUGGAUUGGACCCCCACAAACUUAGCCGCAUUGGUGAUAGUAUCACUACACUUCGUUCACUUGAUAUUGAUUUCUUGAACAAACUCAGUUGAACCGUUGGGUUUUUAUUGAUACAAAACGACAUUGAAUUAACAUAAUUUGCGUAAGACUUGAUUCGAUUACGCGGUCAUUCACUUUGGUAUUUUUCGGACUUACCUGCGAAACAACAAAACUUGGAGGAUAUAACAUAGUCUAAAUUUCGAGGACGAAAUUUCUUCAACAGGGGGAGAAUGUCACAACUGGUAAUUAACGCCUCUUAAUUACGUGAUUAAAAACGUUUAAGGCGAUAAUAAAUAGUGAGUAAGGCACGAAUUAACUAAAUUAGGCUAUUGGAAUGCCUAGGAAUGUUUAUCUGACGCUACUGAGCGCGUAUGGUAAUCUUUGGGAAAUCUGCUGAGCGUUAAACGAUAACAAACUGACACCGAACGAAAUGCUGACAACGUCGACAAAUACGAGUUUUAUACGUUUGAUUUAAACAUAUGAAUUUGAUUUGGUGAAACUAUCAUGCUUUCGAAUGUCAUAAAGCGCAAACGCAAACGAAUGCAACAAAACAUUGACACCAACAAAAUUUUUCGUAAUUUUGACUUUAAAUAAACAAUUUACAACAUUCCACGAAGUUUGGAUCAACACGGGUCAACUCGGUUCGGGUUCGGGUCAACUGCGGUCAAACUCGGUCAACGUUGAUUUGGCGUCUCGGGUCAGCCGGCCAACGUGGUCAACUGCCGGUCAACGUGGUCAAGCUCGGGUCAACGGUCAAACCGGAACACACGUGUAUCGAGACUUUACCUUCACUCGGACUUAUAUAUAAGCAUGUCUAUACAAUUAGAAUAUAUAUUAGUUAAAACCAAACCGAUAUAUCAUGACAAUAUAUAUAUAUACAUAUAUAUAUAUAUAUAUAUAUACAUUCAAAGUCUUAGUUUUGUUUAUGAAGGUCUUGUAACUAGAAGAGCUAAAUAUUCUACAUAAUUUAUAAAUCAAGUUAUGUAUAUAUUUUAUUAGUUUUUAUAGAAUUCUCUAUAAAAAUCCCCACCAAAUAUUAGAUGUAUUACUUGUAUACAUAUCCAAGAUAUUGUGUAAAUCACAAUCAUAUCACCACCUUACCGUGCGGCCAAACCAUCCCCAAUCUCUUCAUACUUUUGUAAUUUCUUGAUUGAAAAUAACUAUGCCUUGAGAGUUGUUGUGAUGAUUGACAUGGACUCUUUGGGAUUUAAAAAUCACAUUCUCGUUCAAUUCAAGAAGCACCACCACAACAAAAAAAAAAUCACAAAGGUUACAAAACCCUCAUAUCUCUAUCUCUACGAUCACAUACACACAUUCAUACUUUCAUUUUUAUCAUAUUUCCACAUGUGUGAAUUACUAGAUAUUUUUGGUGGCCUAUGUAAUAAACACUUAUCCUCAUUUUGAAGCAAUACAACCCUCUCAAGCUCUCAUCUCUUUUCUCUAAGUAUACGACCAUACACAUAUACAACUAAACUUCCAUACAAAAAAUUGCUUCAAGAGUUUAAAGAAGGUCCAAGCAUCAGGAGGCGAUUGAAGCGAUUACAAGCCUUUUUCAUUCAUACGUUUUAGUGCCUUCCCUAGCUAGUCUAGUGGACAUGUUUGAGUCGAUGUAUCCAUUUUGGGCUUCGGUUGCUAGCACUUGCAUAUACGUGUUUCAGGUUGCAUUUUCAAAACUAUGGAACGGUUGGAAUAGGAGAACCCAUGGGAUUUCGGGUACUUAGCGGGCGUUCAUUGUUUAGAAGUCUUAGCUUAUUUGCUUCCGCUGUGCAAUGAAGAUACCGGUCCAGUCACGCUAGCUCUGAUAUUUCGGGGUGUGACAUCCUGUAACCUCCAUUAAUAGAUGUAAUGAAAAGGUAAUAAAAUUAGAAAUGUAA
This is a long non-coding RNA of Helianthus annuus (common sunflower), 4123 nucleotides long. RefSeq lists it as uncharacterized. The record is from RefSeq and is a predicted model, not a curated record. The transcript has 3 exons. Lineage: Eukaryota; Viridiplantae; Streptophyta; Magnoliopsida; Asterales; Asteraceae.